Molecule: small nucleolar RNA, 49 nt
Filed under: Pyrobaculum islandicum DSM 4184
Lineage: Archaea; Thermoproteati; Thermoproteota; Thermoprotei; Thermoproteales; Thermoproteaceae
Description: PISsR58
Source: RNAcentral
UUGAUGAGUCCAGGACUAACUGAGUGGUGAAGAUACUUCUCGCAUCUGA